This 688-nucleotide long non-coding RNA is filed under the name Rosa chinensis. RNAcentral describes it as "sRNA RchiOBHm_Chr1g0346871". The record is from RNAcentral. Lineage: Eukaryota; Viridiplantae; Streptophyta; Magnoliopsida; Rosales; Rosaceae.
GGUCCUGGUCGGCCUCGUGGAUCAAAGAAUAAACCUAAGAAAUAACUAAUAGCACACACCAAGUUACAACUAGUUACAUUUUAUCAUACUCUUUUGCAAGUUACAUUUGAUUGUUAGAACUGCAUUUCUUUAGGUCAAAGCUUGUAACAGGGUCUUCCUAUUUGGAUUAUCAUCAUCAGUCACCAAUCUCAGGCAUUAUGCUGAGACUACACUGGAACAUGUUAGCCUCUUCCAUCAUGUCAUUGACAGUUUGACACUGUAUAGGCCGAAGGCAUGUAGACUGGGUGCUCCUUGUCUUUUUGUUUCAUGCAUAAUGCAUUCCAGCUUAGUUUGCCUAAUGUAGAUGGAAAGAUGGGGAACUUUAUCAAUGUGAUAAUAACAUGGUUUUGAAUUUUUAUUCACUUCUGUUUUGACAUUUAGAAGCAGUCUGCUUAAUUUAUUCUAGUUUAGAUAUACCUAAAUUGCAGUAAAGCAUGCCUCUGUUGACAUGAGCACCUGAAUGUGCACCGCAUUUAGACAAAUAAACAGUUCUCUUUUUUCUUUUUUCUUGUAUUCUUUUCUUUUCUUUUGGCCAAUAAACAAAGAAGUUUUACAAUAGCCUGAACAAAGAAUCCAAACAUUGAGGUCAUUGCCAACCGCCCAUUCUUGAUUUCCUUCACCUUCAGUUCAGCAAAGGCUUCAGGUUUAA